RNAcentral lists this ribosomal RNA (1019 nucleotides) under uncultured organism. Its description in RNAcentral is "bacterial SSU rRNA". It matches the Rfam family "Bacterial small subunit ribosomal RNA", at positions 356 to 1376 of the family's 1533-position model. The record is from RNAcentral.
GAGGAAUAUUGGUCAAUGGACGAGAGUCUGAACCAGCCAAGUAGCGUGAAGGAUGAAGGUUCUAUGGAUUGUAAACUUCUUUUAUACGGGAAUAAACGAAUCCACGCGUGGAUUUUUGCAUGUACCGUAUGAAUAAGGAUCGGCUAGCUCCGUGCCAGCAGCCGCGGUAAUACGGAGGAUCCGAGCGUUAUCCGGAUUUAUUGGGUUUAAAGGGAGCGUAGAUGGGUUGUUAAGUCAGUUGUGAAAGUUUGCGGCUCAACCGUAAAAUUGCAAUUGGUACUGGCAGUCUUGAGUACAGUUGAGGUAGGCGGAAUUCGUGGUGUAGCGGUGAAAUGCUUAGAUAUCACGAAGAACUCCGAUUGCGAAGGCAGCUUACUAACCUGUAACUGACAUUGAUGCUCGAAAGUGUGGAUAUCAAACAGGAUUAGAUACCCUGGUAGUCCACACGGUAAACGAUGAAUACUCGCUGUAGGCGAUAUACGGUCUGCGGCCAAGCGAAAGCAUUAAGUAUUCCACCUGGGGAGUACGCCGGCAACGGUGAAACUCAAAGGAAUUGACGGGGGCCCGCACAAGCGGAGGAACAUGUGGUUUAAUUCGAUGAUACGCGAGGAACCUUACCCGGGCUUAAAUUGCAACCGAAUAUGGCGGAAACGCCAUAGCUAGCAAUAGCGGUUGUGAAGGUGCUGCAUGGUUGUCGUCAGCUCGUGCCGUGAGGUGUCGGCUUAAGUGCCAUAACGAGCGCAACCCUUGCCGAUAGUUACUAACAGGUUAUGCUGAGGACUCUGUCGGGACUGCCAUCGUAAGAUGUGAGGAAGGUGGGGAUGACGUCAAAUCAGCACGGCCCUUACGUCCGGGGCUACACACGUGUUACAAUGGGGGGUACAGAGGGCUGCUACCACGCAAGUGGAUGCCAAUCCCAAAAACCUCUCUCAGUUCGGAUUGAAGUCUGCAACCCGACUUCAUGAAGCUGGAUUCGCUAGUAAUCGCGCAUCAGCCACGGCGCGGUGAAUACGUUCCCG